UAGUCUGGGAAACUGCCUGAUGAGGGGGGAUAACUACUGGAAACGGUAGCUAAUACCGCAUAAUGUCGCAAGACCAAAGUGGGGGACCGUUCGGGCCUCAUGCCAUCAGAUGUGCCCAGAUGGGAUUAGCUAGUAGGUGGGGUAAUGGCUCACCUAGGCGACGAUCCCUAGCUGGUCUGAGAGGAUGACCAGCCACACUGGAACUGAGACACGGUCCAG
This 219-nucleotide ribosomal RNA is filed under the name uncultured bacterium. Its description in RNAcentral is "partial 16S ribosomal RNA". It matches the Rfam family "Bacterial small subunit ribosomal RNA", at positions 113 to 334 of the family's 1533-position model. The record is from RNAcentral.